This 1092-nucleotide long non-coding RNA is filed under the name Oryctolagus cuniculus (rabbit). RNAcentral's name for it is "lncRNA (ENSOCUG00000034713.1)". Lineage: Eukaryota; Metazoa; Chordata; Mammalia; Lagomorpha; Leporidae. The record is from RNAcentral.
AUGGGCGUCCCAGCAAGACGGCCCUGUGCACGCCGCCUUGUGUCGGCUCAGGGUCACGACGAGAAGGGCGUUUCGAAUGUCGCAUCGGUUGGUGGAGUGGGUGUAACGGCAGCUCCCUGGAGGCGGGCCGUGACGGAGGCCGACAGGACGGGGCUGGCGGGUGCAUCCGGACGACCGUGCCCAGGCGCCCAGGUCCCUCCAGGUGGCCGGGAGCCACAGGGACCGGUCUAUGCGUCCUCGGGUGUCUCUGCCCCCCGAUCCACGCGUCCUCGGGUGUCUCUACCCCCCGAUCUACGCGUCCUCGGGUGUCUCUGCCCCCCGAUCUACACGUCCUCGGGUGUCUGCCCCCUGAUCUACGCGUCCUCGGGUGACCUCUGCCCCCCGAUCUACGCGUCCUCGGGUGUCUCUGCCCCCCGAUCUACGCGUCCUCGGGUGACCUCUGCCCCCCGAUCUACACGUCCUCGGGUGUCUCUGCCCCCCGAUCUACGCGUCCUCGGGUGUCUCUGUCCCCCGAUCUACGCGCCCUCAGGUGUCCUCUGCCCCCCGAUCUACGCGUCCUCGGGUGUCUCUGUCCCCCGAUCUACACGUCCUUGGGUGUCUCUGCCCCCCGAUCUACGCGUCCUCGGGUGUCUCUGUCCCCCGAUCUACGUGCCCUCAGGUGACCUCUGCCCCCUGAUCUAUGCAUCCUCUGCCCCCCGAUCUACACGUCCUCAGGUGACCUCUGCCCCCCGAUCUACAUGUCCUCGGGUGUCUUCUGCCCUCCGCAACCCAGCCCCUUUGGAGGACACUGGUGGAAGGGACCCUGUGGCCCCCAAGCUGCUGUCACUCCCAGCACAGGUCCCGGGGAGCCCCUUCCGGAGGGCGUCUCCCACACAGGGGUACCCAGGGGCUCCCCGCGCUCUGCACACGCACACAGCCCGACUAACUCCCUUGGGUGAAACACCUGGACUUUUUAAGAUACAAAGUAAAGGGAGGCCGGAAACAGUCGCAAACAGUCUCGGCUCUCAAAUAAGCAGGAAGCCUGCAGACAAGACCACCUUCCAGAACCUUCCACAGCCGGCGCCCUGCCUCGAGCACCCCGGGCUCCGCUGA